Paramuricea clavata is the source of this 1122-nucleotide non-coding RNA. The record is from the annotation of a GenBank genome assembly. Lineage: Eukaryota; Metazoa; Cnidaria; Anthozoa; Malacalcyonacea; Plexauridae.
CAGACCUUGAUUGAACAAAGAAAGGCAAAGUAUGUUUUUGUUGUUUGUUUGGAUGUAUCCAUUGGGGAAUUGUUCAACUGCAACAGCAGCCGCAAUAACCACGAAAACAGCAAAGCAAUGAAAACAACAACAACAACAACAACAACAACAACAACAACAACAACAACAACAACAACAACAACAACAACAACAACAACAACAACAACAACAACAACAACAACAACAACAACAACAACAACAACGAUAACAACAACGAUAACAACAACGAUAACAGCAACGAAAACAGUAGUAGCUGCAGAAACGAUAAAGAUCGAGGACGCGGACGUCAAAGACGACGUGAAAAUGGUGUGUUGUGCCCAUGUAUGGAUAUAUAUGCCACGCCAUUUUCACGUCGUCUUUGACGUCCAGCAACAACAGCAACGAAAACAGCUGCAGCAACAAUAACAACAACACCACCACCACCAACAACAACAACGAAAACAGCAUCAUCAACAACAACGUCAACAACAGCAGCAACAACAACGAAAACAACAAUAGCAACGACAACGAAAACAGCAGCAACGGCAAUAACAACAGCGAAAAAAGCAGCAGCAACAAUAAUAUUAACAAACCAACAACAACAGCAACAACAACAAUAUCAGUAACAGCAGCAACAACAACAACAGCAGCAAUGCAACAACAACAACAGUAGCAGCAGUAACACCGAUAACAACAGCAGUAAAAACAACAACAACCGCAAAGAAAUCAACAUCAUCAACGACAACAGCGACAGCAAUGACGACGACAAAAACCUUGAAUUAUCAAUAGUUUAGUUUUCACUUCAAAUUUAUAUUUUUUCAUGUCCCCAUUUUCUAGAAAAAAGACGAAAACAAAAACAUUGUAAUUACUUGAACAUGGCGGGGGAUAAGUGUGGACUUUUUGUACGAACGAUAUACAUCUUUUAAAUUAAUCGUAAUUUUAAACUAUUUAUUUGAUAUUUGUUGUAAAAGAUUAAUUUUAAUACGAAAUUUGUAAUUAAUGUAAUAAUAUUUUUGCGCCAGACGAGUUGCUUCGAGCAUUGUCAUUUAUUCAACAAUUUAUUCGUCAAUUGGUCAACAUUAAAAUGGUUUCGUUUCAAACGAC